This 1032-nucleotide ribosomal RNA is filed under the name Klebsiella pneumoniae. Its description in RNAcentral is "bacterial SSU rRNA". It matches the Rfam family "Bacterial small subunit ribosomal RNA", at positions 37 to 1048 of the family's 1533-position model. Lineage: Bacteria; Pseudomonadati; Pseudomonadota; Gammaproteobacteria; Enterobacterales; Enterobacteriaceae. The record is from RNAcentral.
UAGGGGGGGGCCCUUACACAUGGCAAGUCGAGCGGUAGCACAGAGAGCUUGCUCUCGGGUGACGAGCGGCGGACGGGUGAGUAAUGUCUGGGAAACUGCCUGAUGGAGGGGGAUAACUACUGGAAACGGUAGCUAAUACCGCAUAACGUCGCAAGACCAAAGUGGGGGACCUUCGGGCCUCAUGCCAUCAGAUGUGCCCAGAUGGGAUUAGCUAGUAGGUGGGGUAACGGCUCACCUAGGCGACGAUCCCUAGCUGGUCUGAGAGGAUGACCAGCCACACUGGAACUGAGACACGGUCCAGACUCCUACGGGAGGCAGCAGUGGGGAAUAUUGCACAAUGGGCGCAAGCCUGAUGCAGCCAUGCCGCGUGUGUGAAGAAGGCCUUCGGGUUGUAAAGCACUUUCAGCGGGGAGGAAGGCGAUAAGGUUAAUAACCUUGGCGAUUGACGUUACCCGCAGAAGAAGCACCGGCUAACUCCGUGCCAGCAGCCGCGGUAAUACGGAGGGUGCAAGCGUUAAUCGGAAUUACUGGGCGUAAAGCGCACGCAGGCGGUCUGUCAAGUCGGAUGUGAAAUCCCCGGGCUCAACCUGGGAACUGCAUUCGAAACUGGCAGGCUAGAGUCUUGUAGAGGGGGGUAGAAUUCCAGGUGUAGCGGUGAAAUGCGUAGAGAUCUGGAGGAAUACCGGUGGCGAAGGCGGCCCCCUGGACAAAGACUGACGCUAGGUGCGAAAGCGUGGGGAGCAAACAGGGAUUAGAUACCCUGGUAGUCCACGCCGUAACGAUGUCGAUUUGGAGGGUUUGUGCCCUUGAGGCGUGGCUUCCGGAGCUAACGCGUUAAUCGACGGCCUGGGGAGUACGGCCGCAAGGUUAAAACUCAAAUGAAUUGACGGGGGGGCCGCACAAGCGGUGGGAGCAUGUGGUUUAAUUUCGAUGCACGCGGAAGAACCUUUACCUGGUCUUGACAUCCACAGGAACUUUCCCAGAGAUGGAUUGGUUGUCUUUCCGGAACUGUUGAGAAAGGGUGCUGCAUGG